RNAcentral lists this ribosomal RNA (230 nucleotides) under uncultured bacterium. Its description in RNAcentral is "partial 16S ribosomal RNA". It matches the Rfam family "Bacterial small subunit ribosomal RNA", at positions 562 to 791 of the family's 1533-position model. The record is from RNAcentral.
AAAGGGUGCGUAGGCGGUUUAUUAAGUCAGUGGUGAAAGACGGUCGCUCAACGAUUGCAGUGCCAUUGAUACUGGUAGACUUGAGUGGGAUUGAGGUAGCUGGAAUGGAUAGUGUAGCGGUGAAAUGCAUAGAUAUUAUCCAGAACACCAAUUGCGUAGGCAAGUUACUAAGUCUCAACUGACGCUGAGGCACGAAAGUGUGGGUAUCAAACAGGAUUAGAUACCCUAGU